This 946-nucleotide ribosomal RNA is filed under the name uncultured bacterium. RNAcentral's name for it is "bacterial SSU rRNA". It matches the Rfam family "Bacterial small subunit ribosomal RNA", at positions 540 to 1484 of the family's 1533-position model. The record is from RNAcentral.
GUUGUCCGGAAUUAUUGGGCGUAAAGGGUACGCAGGCGGAUAUUCAAGUCAAGCGUGAAAGGUGUCGGCUUAACCGACAGACUGCGUUUGAAACUGAAUAUCUUGAGUGUAACAGAGGAGAGUGGAAUUCCUAGUGUAGUGGUGAAAUACGUAGAUAUUAGGAAGAACACCAGUGGCGAAGGCGACUCUCUGGGUUAACACUGACGCUGAGGUACGAAAGCUGGGGGAGCGAACGGGAUUAGAUACCCCGGUAGUCCCAGCCGUAAACGAUGGAUACUAGGUGUUGGAGGUUCGAAUCCUUCAGUGCCGGAGUUAACGCAUUAAGUAUCCCGCCUGGGGAUUACGAUCGCAAGAUUGAAACUCAAAGGAAUUGACGGGGGCCCGCACAAGCGGUGGAGCAUGUGGUUUAAUUCGAAGCAACGCGAAGAACCUUACCAGGUCUUGACAUCCUUUGACCGCCCUAGAGAUAGGGUUUCCCCUUCGGGGGCAAAGUGACAGGUGGUGCAUGGUUGUCGUCAGCUCGUGUCGUGAGAUGUUGGGUUAAGUCCCGUAACGAGCGCAACCCUUAUUGUUAGUUGCCAGCAUUGAGUUGGGCACUCUAGCAAGACUGCCGGUGACAAACCGGAGGAAGGCGGGGAUGACGUCAAAUCAUCAUGCCCCUUAUGACCUGGGCUACACACGUGCUACAAUGGGAAGUACAACGAGCAAGCCAAGCCGCAAGGCCUAGCGAAUCUCUGAAAGCUUCUCUCAGUUCGGAUUGCAGGCUGCAACUCGCCUGCAUGAAGCCGGAAUCGCUAGUAAUCGCGGAUCAGCAUGCCGCGGUGAAUCCGUUCCCGGGCCUUGUACACACCGCCCGUCACACCACGAGAGUUUGUAACACCCAAAGUCGGUGCGGCAACCCUUCGGGGAGCCAGCCGCCUAAGGUGGGACGAAUGAUUGGGGUGAA